This 84-nucleotide transfer RNA is filed under the name Chitinophagaceae bacterium. RNAcentral's name for it is "tRNA-Leu". It matches the Rfam family "tRNA". Rfam says of the family: Transfer RNA (tRNA) molecules are approximately 80 nucleotides in length. Lineage: Bacteria; Pseudomonadati; Bacteroidota; Chitinophagia; Chitinophagales; Chitinophagaceae. RNAcentral also lists the same sequence under 3 other names. The record is from RNAcentral.
GCCCGGGUGGCGAAAUUGGUAGACGCACUACUUUGAGGUGGUAGCGUCCGAAAGGAUGUGCUGGUUCGAAUCCAGUCUCGGGCA